Molecule: ribosomal RNA, 115 nt
Filed under: Escherichia coli BIDMC 62
Lineage: Bacteria; Pseudomonadati; Pseudomonadota; Gammaproteobacteria; Enterobacterales; Enterobacteriaceae
Source: RNAcentral
UGGCGGCAGUAGCGCGGUGGUCCCACCUGACCCCAUGCCGAACUCAGAAGUGAAACGCCGUAGCGCCGAUGGUAGUAUGGGGUCUCCCCAUGCGAGAGUAGGGAACUGCCAGGCA